This 894-nucleotide ribosomal RNA is filed under the name Fusarium phaseoli. RNAcentral describes it as "LSU rRNA". It matches the Rfam family "Eukaryotic large subunit ribosomal RNA", at positions 38 to 962 of the family's 3401-position model. The record is from RNAcentral. Lineage: Eukaryota; Fungi; Ascomycota; Sordariomycetes; Hypocreales; Nectriaceae.
GCAUAUCAAUAAGCGGAGGAAAAGAAACCAACAGGGAUUGCCUCAGUAACGGCGAGUGAAGCGGCAACAGCUCAAAUUUGAAAUCUGGCUCUCGGGCCCGAGUUGUAAUUUGUAGAGGAUGCUUUUGGUGCGGUGCCUUCCGAGUUCCCUGGAACGGGACGCCAUAGAGGGUGAGAGCCCCGUCUGGUUGGAUGCCAAUCCUCUGUAAAGCUCCUUCGACGAGUCGAGUAGUUUGGGAAUGCUGCUCUAAAUGGGAGGUAUAUGUCUUCUAAAGCUAAAUACCGGCCAGAGACCGAUAGCGCACAAGUAGAGUGAUCGAAAGAUGAAAAGAACUUUGAAAAGAGAGUUAAAAAGUACGUGAAAUUGUUGAAAGGGAAGCGCUUGUGACCAGACUUGGGCUUGGUUGAUCAUCCAGGGUUCUCCCUGGUGCACUCUUCCGGCCCAGGCCAGCAUCAGUUUGCCCCGGGGGAUAAAGGCGUCGGGAAUGUGGCUCCCUCCGGGGAGUGUUAUAGCCCGGCGCGCAAUACCCUGAGGCGGACUGAGGUUCGCGCAUUCGCAAGGAUGCUGGCGUAAUGGUCAUCAGUGACCCGUCUUGAAACACGGACCAAGGAGUCGUCUUCGUAUGCGAGUGUUCGGGUGUCAAACCCCUACGCGUAAUGAAAGUGAACGCAGGUGAGAGCUUCGGCGCAUCAUCGACCGAUCCUGAUGUUUUCGGAUGGAUUUGAGUAAGAGCAUACGGGGCCGGACCCGAAAGAAGGUGAACUAUGCCUGUAUAGGGUGAAGCCAGAGGAAACUCUGGUGGAGGCUCGCAGCGGUUCUGACGUGCAAAUCGAUCGUCAAAUAUGGGCAUGGGGGCGAAAGACUAAUCGAACCUUCUAGUAGCUGGUUCCGCGA